CCCCAAUUUAGUCCUGUAACAGCUUUCGAUAGGUAGACUAGCCAUAUAUGAGGCAGAAAAAAGGCGCAUUGAAUCUCAUCCUAGACAUCUAGUGAGUACGUCAGAAUAUUCAGAGGAGAAUAACGUCAGGCGACCACGCCUUGAAAUGUCCCUGUAGCCUCCAGUUUUGACAAUCCGAAGUAGAAGAAUGUUUACGAAAAGAAAAUGGCUUUAAAGCUAUUGUUAAGACAAAAAUCAUGCACAUGCAAAACACAACAAGAUUCUUAAUCCUUAAAAUGAACUUGAGGCUGAUUUUCAAAACCUUGGAUUACCGAAAUUGCACCCACUCAAAAACAAAAACAAACUGAAACUCGUCGGUUCCCCCCAAUAAUUCUCGGAAAUUGAUUCUAAAAACGGACUGUAGCGAUUGUGGUCUGUUCACUCGAGUCUUAGAACUCUUCCAAGGUUAUGGUUUGGGAGAAGCAGCCUUCCGAUGGGGAAUCUACCAUUGAAAGUCAUUGCUGCGAUGGGGUUACUUCUCCGGAAGAAUCCGAGGUCGCCAAGAACGAGCCACAGAAAUCUUCAAAUUAUCUGGCUCGAGUCGUUCACAGCAGGUUGCACCGGUUAGCUCACGUGGCCAUUGCGGGGUGUGGACCACAAGCGUUCAACAGCCCAGCUACGUAACCUUGGACAACGCGUUUAGAUGUCAAAGCAAGGCUUGCCCUCGUGCCCGUUAUGACCAUAUUUGUGCAAACUGUAAUCGCUCCUGUAAAAUGAAUACGUUAUUUAUCAGUAAAAUGGGGGACUUACGUUUUGUGCUAGACCUUGUUCUAGACUGAAUAAAACGGUCUUUUCAAGAA
Long non-coding RNA from Daphnia magna, 839 nucleotides. RefSeq lists it as uncharacterized. NCBI's taxonomy places the organism in Eukaryota, Metazoa, Arthropoda, Branchiopoda, Diplostraca, Daphniidae. The record is from RefSeq and is a predicted model, not a curated record. The transcript has 2 exons.